This 253-nucleotide ribosomal RNA is filed under the name uncultured bacterium. RNAcentral describes it as "partial 16S ribosomal RNA". It matches the Rfam family "Bacterial small subunit ribosomal RNA", at positions 524 to 776 of the family's 1533-position model. The record is from RNAcentral.
UACGUAGGUGGCAAGCGUUGUCCGGAUUUACUGGGCGUAAAGAGCGCGCAGGCGGUCGUUCAAGUCGCGUGUGAAAGCCCCCGGCUCAACUGGGGAGGGUCACGCGAUACUGAUCGACUCGAAGGCAGGAGAGGGAAGUGGAAUUCCCGGUGUAGUGGCGAAAUGCGUAGAUAUCGGGAGGAACACCAGUGGCGAAGGCGACUUCCUGGCCUGUUCUUGACGCUGAGGCGCGAAAGCUAGGGGAGCAAACGGG